UUAAAUUGAAGAGUUUGAUCAUGGCUCAGAUUGAACGCUGGCGGCAGGCCUAACACAUGCAAGUCGAACGGUAACAGAAAUCAGCUUGCUGAUU
Molecule: ribosomal RNA, 94 nt
Filed under: Escherichia coli
Lineage: Bacteria; Pseudomonadati; Pseudomonadota; Gammaproteobacteria; Enterobacterales; Enterobacteriaceae
Description: partial 16S ribosomal RNA
Rfam family: Bacterial small subunit ribosomal RNA
Source: RNAcentral